UUUCACAAUCUGGGACAAUACAGAGCAAGUUAUGGCCAACACCUGACGCUGAAGUCUGGAUCAAUACCACCAAGCCUCCUGAACAAAAGUUCCUGUUACAGACGGUCAUGAUGAGUAGAAGAAGGCAACAUGAUGAAGCAAAACUCCUCCUUCACCACUACGUUGGAGUCUUCCCAUUCAGUCAUCAUCCAAUUUGCUCCAAAUAAUCAAACACAAGCAGACGCUUCUUACAGAUGGCUGUCCUCUAGAAUGAAAAUGCACACCAACC
Long non-coding RNA from Engraulis encrasicolus (European anchovy), 268 nucleotides. RefSeq lists it as uncharacterized. The record is from RefSeq and is a predicted model, not a curated record. The transcript has 3 exons. NCBI's taxonomy places the organism in Eukaryota, Metazoa, Chordata, Actinopteri, Clupeiformes, Engraulidae.